RNAcentral lists this non-coding RNA (30 nucleotides) under Rattus norvegicus (Norway rat). The record is from RNAcentral. Lineage: Eukaryota; Metazoa; Chordata; Mammalia; Rodentia; Muridae.
GCUGAGUCAUGACAGCACCCGCUUUGGUCC